GACGGAGGGCGCAAGCGUUGUUCGGAAUUACUGGGCGUAAAGCGCGGGCAGGCGGUCUGUUAAGUCGUUUGUGAAAAUCCGGGGCUCAACCCCGUGAAAUGCGUACGAUACUGGCAGGCUGGAGACUGGUAGAGGCUAGCGGAAUUCCUGGUGUAGCGGUGGAAUGCGUAGAUAUCAGGAAGAACACCUGUGGCGAAGGCGGCUAGCUGGGCCAGUUCUGACGCUCAUCCGCGAAAGCGUGGGGAGCAAACAGG
Molecule: ribosomal RNA, 254 nt
Filed under: uncultured bacterium
Lineage: Bacteria
Description: partial 16S ribosomal RNA
Rfam family: Bacterial small subunit ribosomal RNA
Source: RNAcentral